Molecule: long non-coding RNA, 887 nt
Filed under: Portunus trituberculatus (swimming crab)
Lineage: Eukaryota; Metazoa; Arthropoda; Malacostraca; Decapoda; Portunidae
Description: uncharacterized LOC123508216
Source: RNAcentral
GCCUAAACAAUCUUGAUCGCCGCCCGCUACACUUCACCGCUGUUUCGUCUGUCUCCUCUGUAAAGCAUGGAUGAGGCGUGAGUGAGCGUUGGUUAGGGUGCUUAGAUGAUUGCUCUAACUGAUGCCACCCUUCGUAGUGUGAAAGGUGCUGUGUGACCUGUGAGCUGCGUGGUAGUGGAAUGAAUGCUGCGCUAUAGUGGGAGAAGCAGCGGCAUGGGGAAGUGCUGUUUGCUACCUGCCAGUUAGUUGCAGCCGGGCCACACACAAGGAAGGGCGUCCAUUCGCUGUACUCUUGUGUGUUCUUUGUGGCGAAUAAACCAGAAAAGAAGGUGUCCCUGCCUGUCCUUCCUGCCCUGAGUGAGCACCGGAGUCUGACUGUUAAGUCCAGCGCCCAAAAGUGACCUGCGCCCCGUGAACUGAGCGACCCCUACGCGUUGAUGGUCCCGCUGCACAACGACCAUUCCAUUCGCCGCUCCUGCCUGACGUGACGCCGCGUCGGCCCUUCCCGCCACCGCCGCUAUCAUCCGCUCGACGCCUCCCACCACCACCAGCAAUAGCACCAGCAGCAGCCCACUAACCAGGAACGCUGACGACGUGGUGCUGGUGCAGCGUGUGAGGCUGGGCUGCUGCACCAGGGAGGAGCUGCAUGACGGCUUCCAGGGUGAGGAGGGCGGUAAGGGCGCCACCCCCACCUCACUAACACAGCUGCCCGCCACAGCUGCGGCAGCUCAGAGGAUGGAGAGCAGCUCAUCAUCUCGCCACUCCACCGGCGGCGGGCUGGUGCCUCAUUGGAGUAUUUGAAUGUACAUGUAGUCUGUCAUUGUGUAUAUAUCUAUGUACGUAUGUAUAUCUUGUAGACUAUUGGUCAAUAAACCUUUAACAAGUAA